Molecule: ribosomal RNA, 528 nt
Filed under: Penicillium molle
Lineage: Eukaryota; Fungi; Ascomycota; Eurotiomycetes; Eurotiales; Aspergillaceae
Description: eukaryotic LSU rRNA
Rfam family: 5.8S ribosomal RNA (bases 190-342)
Source: RNAcentral
GGAAGGAUCAUUACCGAGUGAGGGCCCUCUGGGUCCAACCUCCCACCCGUGUUUAUUUUACCUUGUUGCUUCGGCGGGCCCGCCUUAACUGGCCGCCGGGGGGCUUACGCCCCCGGGCCCGCGCCCGCCGAAGACACCCUCGAACUCUGUCUGAAGAUUGAAGUCUGAGUGAAAAUAUAAAUUAUUUAAAACUUUCAACAACGGAUCUCUUGGUUCCGGCAUCGAUGAAGAACGCAGCGAAAUGCGAUACGUAAUGUGAAUUGCAAAUUCAGUGAAUCAUCGAGUCUUUGAACGCACAUUGCGCCCCCUGGUAUUCCGGGGGGCAUGCCUGUCCGAGCGUCAUUGCUGCCCUCAAGCCCGGCUUGUGUGUUGGGCCCCGUCCCCCGAUCUCCGGGGGACGGGCCCGAAAGGCAGCGGCGGCACCGCGUCCGGUCCUCGAGCGUAUGGGGCUUUGUCACCCGCUCUGUAGGCCCGGCCGGCGCUUGCCGAUCAACCCAAAUUUUUAUCCAGGUUGACCUCGGAUCAGGU